This 303-nucleotide long non-coding RNA is filed under the name Carassius auratus (goldfish). Its description in RNAcentral is "lncRNA (ENSCARG00000057769.1)". Lineage: Eukaryota; Metazoa; Chordata; Actinopteri; Cypriniformes; Cyprinidae. The record is from RNAcentral.
AUGGGGUUGACAGAUUUUAAGUUAAGUCUGACAUUUUAUUUCUAUUUUAAAAUUACAGCAUUACGAGCACUACAAACUCUCCACUGCACAAUAUCCAACCAUCUAUUCAGAGCACAACCUGUAUUUUUCACUGCAGUUGAACGCCUGGUUUUGGAUUUUCUCAAAGUAGCAGUUGUUCUGUAUUGUUCUCACCCCUCCCCCACCCCACCCUACCCCCACCCACAAAAAAAAAAAACAAAAAAAAAAAACAUUAUUUUCAAUACUAAGUUGAUCAUUUGUGUUCAAUUACUACUGUUCUUUUAA